Molecule: non-coding RNA, 2324 nt
Organism: Delphinapterus leucas (beluga whale)
Lineage: Eukaryota; Metazoa; Chordata; Mammalia; Artiodactyla; Monodontidae
Source: RefSeq, a predicted model, not a curated record
UUAUUUCUUCUCUUUUCCCGGACACCUGGAAGUGCUAGACGCAGGCAUGCCCUGGAGAAAGCCGUGUGGCUGAGUGUGCUUGGGACACAAGAGACAUAACCUCUCCUCGAGGAAAACCCCUUCUCUAAAUACGGUUGCUUUCAUUCAUCAUUUUUGAGGGGAGAAAAGUAACUGUACCAUCCCAGUAAACUUUUUCAGAUGAAAUGAAGAAUUUAGGUUUCACUGGGAAAUCUACAUUCAUCUUGAAGAGCGUACACAGUAUCCUCAACUUUGUUAUUCUCUGAAGAUGAGUCCUUUGAGAAUUAGGAUCCUGUUUUUGCUUUGUAGUCAUCGCAUGUGUCAAGGAAAACAUUAAAGACAAAGCCACAGAUUGACUUCAGCCACAACAGCCUGAUGUACAGAGCAUGAAAUAUGCAAUAUGUGUAACUCCUGGACCCAGCAUCCUACCUAAUGAAAACCCAGGAAGGGGACUUGCUGAUCCUUGGUUUCAUAAUUAGAAGUUCUGCAGGCACAAACCAAGUCAAGAGAAAAGAUGCUUCAUAUACACCUCAUCAGCUCAAGCUCGAAAUGCCUAAAGACAUGACAGCAAUGCUUAUGAAGGGUUCUAUUGAAUGGCUGAAGAAUGCCGAUCAGACAUCAGGAUGUAUAGCAGAGGAAAGCAGCUGUUCUGUUCUGGAGCCAUGGAAAUGCUUUGGAAUGGUUUUCGAGGAACAGUCAACAAACCUCCAGCAGCUGUGAGUGGUAAAAGAAAUGCUUCAGUUCAGAGCAGAGAAGAACGAGCAUGUUUUAAACCAUGGAGUCAGAAGGUGAGAAACUCCCAGGUUACCAGGAGCAGAGCUACUCUCAGAAGAAUGGGAUGAGUUGGUGACUACACCCCUCAGUGCAACAGGAAGCGCAGUGUCUCCCAACAUGAUGGAUCUCUCAAUACCACAGCAUUGGAAAGAGCCUUUGUUUUUUUCCACCCAAGGGAUCAUUUUGAAUAGUCUCUCAAGAUGGUUGAAGAGGCUAUAAUCUGGUCAAUGUUCCUCAAAGUGUGGAGAGUACCCGUGAGGCAAAAUAGAGAAGAGAUUGGAAGCAGAGUGGGAGAGACGAGCCUCACUUCCAACCCAUCCACUACUACACCCAUCACUUUUUUCUUCAUGCCUUGCAAGGUUAAGCCCGUAUUUAAUGAGAAUGCUGAUGGAUGAAGCCAUGACCGUAUGGUGAUUAUUACAGUGGACCAAGAUUCCAGAUUUUGUGCUUGAAGACGCGGGCAAAGCAGGACCUACUUCAUGGCUAGCCCUGUGCUGGGGAUUGUUGGGUGUGCAGGAACUUAGCUCAUUUGGGAUCCUUGCAUCCCUCCUCCUCCUCCUCAUCGUCAAAACAGCCACGGUGAAAUGAAAUACGCAUCAGGAAGCCCAGGGUUGAGCAGUUGGGGCUGGUACCCUGGCUCAGCAAUGCUGAGGAUGCCGACUGCUUCUCUCCCCCUGCUCUGACAUCUUCAGCAUGUGACUUUCAUCUUCCUGGGAGCAAGAUGUACUCUAUAUGCCACAUCUGCAUGCCAGUCCUCUCAGGGCCAUCGUUUGAAAAAGGAAAGCCAGAGCUGCCUUGUCUUAAGCCUGGGGAGGCUGCAAAGUGCAAGAGAGAUGCUUUACCCAGAAGUCCUCAGGCAGGCUUGCUUCCUCCAGCCUUCUGCCUGGGACGGGCAGGGCCGCCACAGCUCACUGGGGACCUUUCAUGUUUCCCUGCUCCUGUGAAUGGGUUGUGCCCACCAACACUACAGGUGGGUCCCGUGCAAGUGCCAAACAAGCAGCUGCACAGCCCAGGGACUUUGAGCUGUUUGCAGCUCUCCUGUCUUUGUAUCCCUGCCAACUCGCACACACCUGGGACCGCACCAGCUGCCUACCUACUGCAGCCCCCUUUCCCCCAUGUGACCUAAUCCUCAGGACACCUGCUCCUCUCCAGGGCUUCGAGCCCCAUUCCCUCCUUGCCUCAGUAAGGCCUGGGGAGGUUUGAACAAGACCUAUGUUUUUCAUGCCUAGAACAGUCAACUCCCACUAAUUUCAUGGCAUAUUAGGAGGGAUUAAGGUUUACAGUGAAGAAAGGCUGGAGCUGACAAUCAGCUUGGUCAUUUGGGGAUCUAAUUAAAUUGGACCUGAGACCUCGGCUCAGAAAUGGAAUCAAAUUCUCUCUUUGGCAUGAUGUGUGUUUUGGACCAAGAUUACAAACACAGACUGUCCCCGUCUUCCUUCUUUGCCUAUAGAUGUUGGUUUGCAAUUUUAAAACGCAGCAAGGGGUGAGGCAAGUACUACAGUUUGGAUUUUUUUUUUUUUUCUUUUUUGCGG